This 253-nucleotide ribosomal RNA is filed under the name uncultured bacterium. RNAcentral describes it as "partial 16S ribosomal RNA". It matches the Rfam family "Bacterial small subunit ribosomal RNA", at positions 524 to 776 of the family's 1533-position model. The record is from RNAcentral.
UACAGGGGGUGCAAACGUUGCUCGGAAUCAUUGGGCGUAAAGCGCACGCAGGCGGUCUGUUAUGUCGGAUGUGAAAGCCCUUGGCUCAACUGAGGAAGUGCAUCCGAAACUGGCAGGCUAGAGUACUAAAGAGGAUCGCGGAAUUCCCGGUGUAGAGGUGAAAUUCGUAGAUAUCGGGAGGAACACCGGUGGCGAAGGCGGCGAUCUGGGUAGAUACUGACGCUGAGGUGCGAAAGCGUGGGGAGCAAACAGG